CAAAAAACAAAUUUUAAGUUUAUUAGACCACAUUCAUUCUGUGUCAGAAACCUAUGCUGUGUCAACUAUUUAAUCACAAUCCAAAUUUAGAGCUGAAUCCAGCUUGAAUGUUGUGUCCAUACUUGCCCCAACCGUUCAGGGUUCAACCUCUGCGGUCGUAUAAAGCUGCGCCCUGCGGAGCAUCUGGUUUAUGUUAUGUUC
Molecule: long non-coding RNA, 201 nt
Filed under: Mytilus galloprovincialis (Mediterranean mussel)
Lineage: Eukaryota; Metazoa; Mollusca; Bivalvia; Mytilida; Mytilidae
Source: RNAcentral